RNAcentral lists this ribosomal RNA (508 nucleotides) under uncultured bacterium. Its description in RNAcentral is "bacterial SSU rRNA". It matches the Rfam family "Bacterial small subunit ribosomal RNA", at positions 8 to 528 of the family's 1533-position model. The record is from RNAcentral.
AGAGUUUGAUCCUGGCUCAGGACGAACGCUGGCGGCGUGCCUAACACAUGCAAGUUGAGCGGAGAUAUAUGGAGCUUGCUUUAUAUAACUUAGCAGCGAACGGGUGAGUAACACGUAGAUAAUCUAUCCUAUACUGGGGGAUAGCCCGAUGAAAGUUGGAUUAAUACCGCAUAUAGCUAUAUAGUUGCAUGAUUAUGUAGUGAAAGAUUUAUUGGUAUAGGAGGAGUCUGCGGCACAUUAGCUAGUAGGUGAGGUAAAGGCUUACCUAGGCGACGAUGUGUAGCCGGUCUGAGAGGAUGAACGGCCACAAUGGAACUGAGACACGGUCCAUACUCCUACGGGAGGCAGCAGUGGGGAAUAUUGCACAAUGGGGGAAACCCUGAUGCAGCAACGCCGCGUGAGUGAAGAAGGUUUUCGGAUUGUAAAGCUCUGUUAGCAGGGAAGAGGAAGGACGGUACCUGCAGAGGAAGCCACGGCUAACUACGUGCCAGCAGCCGCGGUAAUACGU